RNAcentral lists this ribosomal RNA (336 nucleotides) under uncultured Bacillota bacterium. RNAcentral describes it as "bacterial SSU rRNA". It matches the Rfam family "Bacterial small subunit ribosomal RNA", at positions 28 to 351 of the family's 1533-position model. Lineage: Bacteria; Bacillati; Bacillota. The record is from RNAcentral.
GACGAACGCUGGCGGCGUGCCUAACACAUGCAAGUCGAACGGAGAUAUUAGAGGAAGCUUGCGAAUCUAAUAUCUUAGUGGCGGACGGGUGAGUAACGCGUGGGUAAUCUGCCCAAAAGUGGGGGACAACAGUUGGAAACGACUGCUAAUACCGCAUACGCUGCCGCAAGGCAGGAAAGGAGGCCUCUUAACAAAGCUUCCGCUUAUGGAUGAGCCCGCGUCUGAUUAGCUAGUUGGCAGGGUAAAGGCCUACCAAGGCGACGAUCAGUAGCCGGCCUGAGAGGGUGAACGGCCACACUGGGACUGAGACACGGCCCAGACACCUACGGGUGGCAG